Molecule: ribosomal RNA, 669 nt
Filed under: uncultured bacterium
Lineage: Bacteria
Description: partial 16S ribosomal RNA
Source: RNAcentral
AGGAGGGGCUAAAGCGUAAAAAACUUGCCCCUGCCGGGUACAGACGGAUGCCGCCGGAGCUUACCCUAUGAUAUCUGUUUAAGUAAGUCGGAGACUUAUGAACGCUCUAUCCACUGUGUGAUAGCUUUGCGUCCCGUUUACUAGGUGAGGUGAAGGCUUACUCAGCCUGCGGGCUGUAACCGGCCUGAGAUGUUAAUGAUCGAUCCUGGGACGGCUGACUGACACACACUCCUCCUUCCUAAGGCAGCGUGGGGAAAAUUGUUUAAUGCACCAGCACGAUGAUCCUCCACUUCUGUGUGGGGCCUCAAGAUUUCUUAAUAUUGGUGCUUGUUUUGUGGACUGGAAAUAAGAUAGCCUCCGGAACAAUUGACGGCACGGUACCUACCAACUCCCGACCGGCUAACUAUGUCACACCCGCUAUCCCGAUUUGGUGGGGGCGAUAAUUGAACUUAAUGGCUGUAAGUCUGACGUGAGAAUACCGGGACACACUCAGGAUUGCCAUUCACCCUGCCUCACCUAAGUACUGUGUUCUAAGCGAAACUGCAAGAGUAUGUCUAAGAUGCAUAUAUACUUGUAUGAAUGAGUAUGGAGAAUCUACAUGAGUGGACAUAUACUGGCGCAGCUCUCUCCCGCGCGUGCUACGACUCUCACGGAUAAACGGGUGGAGAA